AUGGAUACAAUUCAUCAUCUCAAUAGUACCCUAGAUUAGCUUUUCAGAGAUAAAAUUGCCCUUCGCCUUUCUAACCUUCAUCGCAUCACCCUCCUUCACACGCUCUGUCUUCUCAUAAAUCGCGGUAUCUGGAUUUUGAUUGGAGGUGGAGGGAUUUGGUUUGUGAUUAAGCUUUUGUCCAUAAUUGGAUGAGAGGGCGGCUGGGGGCGACUCAUUUGUUGCGGUUGAAUUGAAUGGGUGGGCAAUGCAUUUGUUACAGCGGAUGAGGAGUAUUUCUUGUGGGCAUCGGCAGGGUAGAGGAUUUCGGCAGCUGCGACGACGUGGAGUGGACGGCGGCGAGGGCGGCUCUUCUGGAUUAAGACAUAGUUUGGGGCGGAUGAGAUCAUCUAUCCAUAAUUUAGUUGUCCCACCCGUAAAUUAUAUGGAUUGGAGAUGGACCUCAUGAAUGGAAGAAGUUGGUGGAAAUCGAGCUCUUGAUAAAGAAUUGCAUGGAUUUUGAAGAUGUUUGGAGAUUGGGCUUGGAAUUAAUUGUUUAGAAUUUAUUUAGCCCAAAAACUCUUGUUUUUAUUUAAUAUUUUGCCUUAAUAUUUUGUUAGGGGCCGUAGCCCAUUUGUUGGGAUGAUUGGCGUCACUUUAAGGGAUUAAUUCCCUAAGUCCUAGUUAUUUCCACUAGCCGCCAUGUACUCCUUAUAUAUAUAUAUAUGUUUAGUUUAGUUUUCCGAGACACAU
This is a long non-coding RNA of Salvia miltiorrhiza (redroot sage), 729 nucleotides long. RefSeq lists it as uncharacterized. The transcript has 2 exons. The record is from RefSeq and is a predicted model, not a curated record. NCBI's taxonomy places the organism in Eukaryota, Viridiplantae, Streptophyta, Magnoliopsida, Lamiales, Lamiaceae.